AAAUUGAAGAGUUUGAUCAUGGCUCAGAUUGAACGCUGGCGGCAGGCCUAACACAUGCAAGUCGAGCGGAAACGAGUUAUCAGAACCUUCGGGGAACGAUAACGGCGUCGAGCGGCGGACGGGUGAGUAAUGCCUAGGAAAUUGCCCUGAUGUGGGGGAUAACCAUUGGAAACGAUGGCUAAUACCGCAUGAUGCCUACGGGCCAAAGAGGGGGACCUUCGGGCCUCUCGCGUCAGGAUAUGCCUAGGUGGGAUUAGCUAGUUGGUGAGGUAAGGGCUCACCAAGGCGACGAUCCCUAGCUGGUCUGAGAGGAUGAUCAGCCACACUGGAACUGAGACACGGUCCAGACUCCUACGGGAGGCAGCAGUGGGGAAUAUUGCACAAUGGGCGCAAGCCUGAUGCAGCCAUGCCGCGUGUGUGAAGAAGGCCUUCGGGUUGUAAAGCACUUUCAGUCGUGAGGAAGGCGGUGUAGUUAAUAGCUGCAUCGUUUGACGUUAGCGACAGAAGAAGCACCGGCUAACUCCGUGCCAGCAGCCGCGGUAAUACGGAGGGUGCGAGCGUUAAUCGGAAUUACUGGGCGUAAAGCGCAUGCAGGUGGUUUGUUAAGUCAGAUGUGAAAGCCCGGGGCUCAACCUCGGAAUUGCAUUUGAAACUGGCAGACUAGAGUACUGUAGAGGGGGUAGAAUUUCAGGUGUAGCGGUGAAAUGCGUAGAGAUCUGAAGGAAUACCGGUGGCGAAGGCGGCCCCCUGGACAGAUACUGACACUCAGAUGCGAAAGCGUGGGGAGCAAACAGGAUUAGAUACCCUGGUAGUCCACGCCGUAAACGAUGUCUACUUGGAGGUUGUGGCCUUGAGCCGUGGCUUUCGGAGCUAACGCGUUAAGUAGACCGCCUGGGGAGUACGGUCGCAAGAUUAAAACUCAAAUGAAUUGACGGGGGCCCGCACAAGCGGUGGAGCAUGUGGUUUAAUUCGAUGCAACGCGAAGAACCUUACCUACUCUUGACAUCCAGAGAACUUUCCAGAGAUGGAUUGGUGCCUUCGGGAACUCUGAGACAGGUGCUGCAUGGCUGUCGUCAGCUCGUGUUGUGAAAUGUUGGGUUAAGUCCCGCAACGAGCGCAACCCUUAUCCUUGUUUGCCAGCGAGUAAUGUCGGGAACUCCAGGGAGACUGCCGGUGAUAAACCGGAGGAAGGUGGGGACGACGUCAAGUCAUCAUGGCCCUUACGAGUAGGGCUACACACGUGCUACAAUGGCGCAUACAGAGGGCAGCCAACUUGCGAAAGUGAGCGAAUCCCAAAAAGUGCGUCGUAGUCCGGAUUGGAGUCUGCAACUCGACUCCAUGAAGUCGGAAUCGCUAGUAAUCGUGGAUCAGAAUGCCACGGUGAAUACGUUCCCGGGCCUUGUACACACCGCCCGUCACACCAUGGGAGUGGGCUGCAAAAGAAGUAGGUAGUUUAACCUUCGGGGGGACGCUUACCACUUUGUGGUUCAUGACUGGGGUGAAGUCGUAACAAGGUAGCGCUAGGGGAACCUGGCGCUGGAUCACCUCCUUA
RNAcentral lists this ribosomal RNA (1552 nucleotides) under Vibrio parahaemolyticus. Its description in RNAcentral is "bacterial SSU rRNA". It matches the Rfam family "Bacterial small subunit ribosomal RNA". Lineage: Bacteria; Pseudomonadati; Pseudomonadota; Gammaproteobacteria; Vibrionales; Vibrionaceae. The record is from RNAcentral.